RNAcentral lists this ribosomal RNA (310 nucleotides) under Segatella copri. RNAcentral describes it as "partial 23S ribosomal RNA". It matches the Rfam family "Bacterial large subunit ribosomal RNA", at positions 1 to 314 of the family's 2925-position model. Lineage: Bacteria; Pseudomonadati; Bacteroidota; Bacteroidia; Bacteroidales; Prevotellaceae. The record is from RNAcentral.
AAGAAAGUAAGAAAGGGCGUAUGGCGGAUGCCUAGGCUCACGGAGGCGAUGAAGGACGUGAUAAGCUGCGAUAAGCUUCGGGUAGGUGCAAAUAACCCUUGAUCCGAAGAUUUCCGAAUGGGACAACCUAGCCGUCUGAAGGACGGUUACUAGCACUCAUGUGUUAGAGCUAACGCAGGGAACUGAAACAUCUUAGUACCUGCAGGAAGAGAAAAUAAAUUAAUGAUUCCCCCAGUAGUGGCGAGCGAACGGGGAACAGCCCAAACCAGUGGCGUCGCAAGGCGUGGCUGGGGUUGUAGGACCGCGACAU